CUCUGUGAGCUGAUUCCACCAGUGACUGAACACAGACCAGCACCAUGGAGCUGGGGCUGCGCUGGGUUCUCCUUGUUGCUCUGUUGAAAGGUGUGCAGUGUGAGGUGCAGCUGGUGGAGUCUGGGGGAGGCUUGGUGCAGCCUGGGGGGUCCCUGAGACUCUCCUGUGCAGCCUCGGGAUUCACCUUCAGUAGUUACUACAUGGACUGGGUCCGCCAGGCUCCAGGGAAAGGGCUGGAGUGGGUUGCACGAAUUAAUACAGAUGGUGGUAGCACAUGGUACCCAGACUCUGUGAAGGGCCGGUUCACCAUCUCCAGAGACAACAGCAAGAACACACUUCACCUGCAGAUGAACAGCCUGAGAGUGGAGGACACGGCCGUCUAUUACUGUGCUAGAGACACAUAUAAAGCCUCCCUAGACCCAGCCAUAGCCCUCCUGGGCACCGACCCUGACAUCAGGAGCCAGGAUAUGAGGACAGCUGCCCGUCCAUGUCCAUUGACACGCUAA
Non-coding RNA from Dipodomys spectabilis (banner-tailed kangaroo rat), 506 nucleotides. Lineage: Eukaryota; Metazoa; Chordata; Mammalia; Rodentia; Heteromyidae. The record is from the annotation of a RefSeq genome assembly.